RNAcentral lists this ribosomal RNA (854 nucleotides) under Salmonella enterica subsp. enterica. RNAcentral describes it as "partial 23S ribosomal RNA". It matches the Rfam family "Bacterial large subunit ribosomal RNA", at positions 711 to 1566 of the family's 2925-position model. The record is from RNAcentral. Lineage: Bacteria; Pseudomonadati; Pseudomonadota; Gammaproteobacteria; Enterobacterales; Enterobacteriaceae.
AGACCCGAAACCCGGUGAUCUAGCCAUGGGCAGGUUGAAGGUUGGGUAACACUAACUGGAGGACCGAACCGACUAAUGUUGAAAAAUUAGCGGAUGACCUGUGGCUGGGGGUGAAAGGCCAAUCAAACCGGGAGAUAGCUGGUUCUCCCCGAAAGCUAUUUAGGUAGCGCCUCGUGAAUUCAUCUCCGGGGGUAGAGCACUGUUUCGGCUAGGGGGCCAUCCCGGCUUACCAACCCGAUGCAAACUGCGAAUACCGGAGAAUGUUAUCACGGGAGACACACGGCGGGUGCUAACGUCCGUCGUGAAGAGGGAAACAACCCAGACCGCCAGCUAAGGUCCCAAAGUCAUGGUUAAGUGGGAAACGAUGUGGGAAGGCCCAGACAGCCAGGAUGUUGGCUUAGAAGCAGCCAUCAUUUAAAGAAAGCGUAAUAGCUCACUGGUCGAGUCGGCCUGCGCGGAAGAUGUAACGGGGCUAAACCAUGCACCGAAGCUGCGGCAGCGACACUGUGUGUUGUUGGGUAGGGGAGCGUUCUGUAAGCCUGUGAAGGUGGCCUGUGAGGGUUGCUGGAGGUAUCAGAAGUGCGAAUGCUGACAUAAGUAACGAUAAAGCGGGUGAAAAGCCCGCUCGCCGGAAGACCAAGGGUUCCUGUCCAACGUUAAUCGGGGCAGGGUGAGUCGACCCCUAAGGCGAGGCCGAAAGGCGUAGUCGAUGGGAAACGGGUUAAUAUUCCCGUACUUGGUGUUACUGCGAAGGGGGGACGGAGAAGGCUAUGUUGGCCGGGCGACGGUUGUCCCGGUUUAAGCGUGUAGGCUGGUUUUCCAGGCAAAUCCGGAAAAUCAAGGCUGAGGCGUGA